Molecule: RNA transcript, 3016 nt
Organism: Pipistrellus kuhlii (Kuhl's pipistrelle)
Lineage: Eukaryota; Metazoa; Chordata; Mammalia; Chiroptera; Vespertilionidae
Gene: PAIP2B
Gene name: poly(A) binding protein interacting protein 2B
Exons: 6
Source: RefSeq, a predicted model, not a curated record
GGCAACCUGGCGAGUGGUGGGGCGCUUCUUCGUGGUGUUCUGUGUGGCUCACGCUCCGACCGGGGAGGCCGGGACCGUCCUGGCUGCGGCGAUCUCUGCGGCGGUGGCGACGGCUGAGGCUCUCGGGAGAGCGAUCGACCGAGUCGGGUCUGAAGGAGGGGCUUCUGGUCAGCUCAGGCAGCUGGAAAGGUGAGCACCCGAGAAGCAAGAAUACACGCUGUACAGGGGGAACUUUACAGUGGGAACUUUCAUCGGUUUUGUUAAAGGGUCUAUCAUAAUGAAUGGAUCCAGUGUGGCAAAUACAUCCCCCAGCGUAAACUCCAAAGAGGACCAGGGGUUAAAUGGGCAUGAUGAGAAGGAAAACCCAUUUGCAGAGUACAUGUGGAUGGAGAAUGAAGAGGAUUUUAACAGACAGGUGGAGGAGGAGCUGCUGGAGCAGGACUUCUUGGACCGGUGCUUCCAGGAGAUGCUGGACGAGGAAGACCAAGACUGGUUUAUUCCAUCGCGAGACUUGCCUCAGGCCAUGGGACAGUUGCAACAACAGUUAAAUGGACUAUCUGUCAGCAAUGGUCAUGAUUCUGAAGAUAUUUUGAGCAAAAGUAACCUGAACCCGGAUGCCAAGGAAUUUAUUCCAGGAGUGAAGUACUGAGCUGACAGAGAAACUCUGAGGAGGACUUGUAUAUCCCCACAUCUGGGGACAGUGCUGCACAAAAAGGCAGAGCUGAAGGGGGUGGGUGGGCUAGGGGUGCACAGUGGGGGAGGGGAAUAGUAGUUUAAUUUAACACUGUGACUGGAGUAGCUAAAUUGCUCAGUCUUACUCUACAAGCCUUUGAGUAUUUCUCUUUUGUUCUACUGGCUUUCAUUUUGAGCAGAUUAUUAUUAUUAUUAUUAUUAUUAUCAUUAUUAUUAUUAGGUUUUUGCCUUUUUGAGUUAAGGAAAUUAUUGCAAUUUUUCUCACCUUCAUCAGGAAUGUACUACUAUGUGUAUUUAAACAGAAUAAGCUGACCAAGAAAAUCUGGGUGUUUACAAACGCCCUCUCACCCUGCUGUAUGCUUGCAAGGGCAGUGAGCACCUAGAGAACUACUGAGUCUGUUAAGCUGGAUGGGAAGAGGGAUGAGUGGAAGAAGCAGGUGUUUUAAGUGACCCAUGAGCGCUUUCUGCAAGGAACUGGGAUUACCAGUUGUCUGCCGAGCCCAUGUCUUCCUGCCUUGAACCUACAUUCAAAAAAACACGGACUUGAAGUAUUGGUUUACAGUAACUCUUUUUAUGGUUGAAGAAAGUUGUGAAUUCAAGGGGAAACUGUGAUUGUUCUUGCCACUCGAGUCAUACAGUUAUGGGCGGCCUACUCUUAAGCCUCUGUUUACAGCUACCAUCAGACUCAUCAUUUACAAGCUAUAAUUGGUGACCAGGAACAGUAGGAGACUUACUGAAGGCAACAUUCAGGUUUUUUGCUUGACCUUCUACAACACACACACACCGCUAUUCCCAAUCUAGUGUUUAUGGGAGUCCCAGGAACAGGACAGCCAAGUUCACUGAAUUCCACAAGAUGUCAGCCAAGAGUCACCACCCCACCCCAGGGGAUGAGAAAGAAAUCUGCAGAGGGACAGAGGCACCAUCUUUAUUCCAAAAGAAAAAGCCCCCUUACGUUUUGUUAUUACGAGGAAGCUUAUUUCUGGGACUACUUCUUACAGGUGGCCUUUUACUUUUAGUAAUGCAGACACAUCCUAGGCAAUUCACCAUAAAAUGGACAGUGUUUUCACUCUGAACUCAACACUAAGUGAUCAUCCUGCCCUGUGGAUCGUGAACCUCAGGAAUGUUUAGUGCUUGGUGGGUGGUUCGGGAGGCAGGGUAAUUAAAAAAAAAAAAAAAUUAUGGAGGCAUAUUUUACAUAUAAUAAAUGCACCCAUUUCAAGUGUUAAAUUCAGUGAUUUUAGUGACUUUCCUGAGUGGCACAGUCAUAACUGUCACUGUUUUAGAACAUUUUCAUCCACCCCAGUAAGAUCCUUUAUUUAUUGCACAGUAAUCCCUGCUCCCAGCUUUCCAUCACUUGCCUCUUCUGGACAUCGGAUCAGUGGAAUCAUACAAAACCUGACCUCUUGCUUCUGGCUUUUUCCACUCGGCAUACGUUGCGGUGUGUCCACGGUGUUUAACUUGCGUUGGUCGUGUCUCUUUUCGUUGCCAUAGCAUUCCAUUGGUAGCUGUCCCGCAUCCUGUCACCAAGGAGUCCUUGAAACUUGGGUUUCAACCUGCCGUGGCCUAAAGGAGCCCUUAGGACACAGGACUCCUUCCCCCACGUCCAAGGAACCGCUUAUGAGAACUAGCUCUGUUAUCAGAAGCUCCGAGACCUUGGGAGCCUGAGCUGCUGCAGAAAUUUUUAUAGACUUGCAACUUUUUUAUAAGGAACUCUUUUGCUAUCUACCUGUCUGUACUUUUGAAGCAUUUGGUAAUUCACUUACUCUAAAGUAUGAGUAUGUGUUGGAGUGGACAAGUGAACCAGCAAUAAUACUGUGUUGGAGAUUUUUCUUUCCUCCCCAGCGGGAUGGGGGAGUCUCUGAAAUUUCUAAAUACAGUAGUAUCAUCUCCAUGACAAGGUGGGACCUUUGUUGAAGAUCAUGCUGCCUUUGUUGGACAGAUGUUGAGGAGGACCGCGUGCAGAGGAGAAAGGAAGUGCAGCUUGUGAAACAAGAAGCCCGGAGCCCGGUGCACGCCCACCUCUGGUGUGGGAGGUGAAGCGCUGAUGGUGUCCACCUGCAGCUUAGCCCCUCCAGCAGGCCCGGGUCUUGUCUUUGGACUUUUAUCCCUGUUUCACAGUGUUUAAAAGUUGUUUUUGUCCCACACACUCCAAUAAACAUUACAUGAUAGUUAUUAAUAAUACUUCUUUGGGGGAGGAGCAGGGCUUUAAAAUUAAAAUAAUUUUUAUAAAAAUGUAAAAAAAUUGAAAAGUUACUUUAAAAAUUUUGCUAUACAAACCAAAUGGCAGCUGUUGAAAAUAUUAAUAAAAUGAGAAUAAAAUGCA